RNAcentral lists this ribosomal RNA (548 nucleotides) under uncultured bacterium. RNAcentral describes it as "bacterial SSU rRNA". It matches the Rfam family "Bacterial small subunit ribosomal RNA", at positions 355 to 896 of the family's 1533-position model. The record is from RNAcentral.
UGGGGAAUUUUGGACAAUGGGCGCAAGCCUGAUCCAGCCAUGCCGCGUGUGUGAAGAAGGCCUUCGGGUUGUAAAGCACUUUCGGACGGAACGAAAUCGCGCGAGUUAAUAGCCCGCGUGGAUGACGGUACCGUAAGAAGAAGCACCGGCUAACUACGUGCCAGCAGCCGCGGUAAUACGUAGGGUGCGAGCGUUAAUCGGAAUUACUGGGCGUAAAGCGUGCGCAGGCGGUUGUGCAAGACAGGUGUGAAAUCCCCGGGCUUAACCUGGGAACUGCACUUGUGACUGCACGGCUAGAGUACGGUAGAGGGGGAUGGAAUUCCGCGUGUAGCAGUGAAAUGCGUAGAUAUGCGGAGGAACACCAAUGGCGAAGGCAAUCCCCUGGACCUGUACUGACGCUCAUGCACGAAAGCGUGGGGAGCAAACAGGAUUAGAUACCCUGGUAGUCCACGCCCUAAACGAUGUCAACUGGUUGUUGGACGGCUUGCUGUUCAGUAACGAAGCUAACGCGUGAAGUUGACCGCCUGGGGAGUACGGCCGCAAGGUUG